AACGAACGCUGGCGGCAUGCCUAACACAUGCAAGUCGAACGAGACCUUCGGGUCUAGUGGCGCACGGGUGCGUAACGCGUGGGAAUCUACCCUCAGGUUCGGAAUAACUCAGAGAAAUUUGAGCUAAUACCGGAUGAUGACGUAAGUCCAAAGAUUUAUCGCCUGAGGAUGAGCCCGCUUAGGAUUAGGUAGUUGGUGAGGUAAAGGCUCACCAAGCCGACGAUCCUUAGCUGGUCUGAGAGGAUGAUCAGCCACACUGGGACUGAGACACGGCCCAGACUCCUACGGGAAGCAGCAGUGGGGAAUAUUGGACAAUGGGCGAAAGCCUGAUCCAGCAAUGCCGCGUGAGUGAUGAAGGCCUUAGGGUUGUAAAGCUCUUUUACCCGGGAUGAUAAUGACAGUACCGGGAGAAUAAGCGCCGGCUAACUCCGUG
RNAcentral lists this ribosomal RNA (433 nucleotides) under uncultured bacterium. RNAcentral describes it as "partial 16S ribosomal RNA". It matches the Rfam family "Bacterial small subunit ribosomal RNA", at positions 29 to 507 of the family's 1533-position model. The record is from RNAcentral.